RNAcentral lists this long non-coding RNA (690 nucleotides) under Mytilus galloprovincialis (Mediterranean mussel). The record is from RNAcentral. Lineage: Eukaryota; Metazoa; Mollusca; Bivalvia; Mytilida; Mytilidae.
GUAACAUUUUGGCGGGAAUGUCAAAUCCACUAUAAAACUUAUAAUUAAUUUUACGGAAAAGACUAUCUAUCAAAAUUCACGUAGAAAAAAUCCAGUAGAUAUGCUGGGAUUCGAACUCAAGACCUUUAGCAUAUCAAGCCACGACACAUACCACUACACCAGGACGACUUGAUACGAAAUAAUAGUAAUUUGACAUACUUAAAGGAAGCAAGAUAUUUUUAUUAGUGGGGCGAGUUGUCAAACCUUUAUUCAGUGGGGUUUUAACCUUUCACGUUUAUUUGUGAGUUUUCAGACUGAUUGUUUAAUUUGAUUUUACACUUUUUCAAAGUGGGGCAAGUCGGUAAACAAGAUUGGGACGAUAUUUUUAUAAAGUGGCGAUAUAGCGUGGGCCGAUUGGCAAGUGGGGCGAGUUGACAUUGUUUGAUAUCUACUCAUCGUGUUUGGGGUCAAAAAGGUAUACAUCAUAUAGUAAUAUAUAAAGUAUAUUGUUAUGGUUGUGUGGCGUUCUAAACUAGAUUUUAUGAAUUGUAAAUGGUUUUUCGUCUAAUCUAAAACAGCUGGGAUGUAAAAUAGUUAUCCCAGUCGGACUUGGGUGUGUCAGUGUUAGAUCACCCUCUGGCCUCCGGCCAUCGGGGUGAUCUUACACUGACACACCGCGUCCUUAUGGGAUAACUAUUAAAGACAAAUCUA